CCCCUAGAUGUUCUGGGCCGCACGCGCGCUACACUGAACAGUUCAACAAGUCUUAACCUUGGCCGAUAGGUCUGGGUAAUCUUUGAACGCUGUUCGUGAUUGGGAUAGACCUUUGCAAUUAUGGGUCUUCAACGAGGAAUUCCUAGUAAACGCAAGUCAUCAGCUUGCAUUGAUUACGUCCCUGCCCUUUGUACACACCGCCCGUCGCACCUACCGAUUGAAUGGUCCGGUGAAAUCUCGGGACGGCGGCUUGGUCGCUUGCGUCCGAUUGCUGAAACUUGAUUAAACCAUAUCAUUUAGAGGAAGGUGAAGUCGUAACA
Molecule: ribosomal RNA, 320 nt
Filed under: uncultured eukaryote
Lineage: Eukaryota
Description: partial 18S ribosomal RNA
Rfam family: Eukaryotic small subunit ribosomal RNA
Source: RNAcentral